RNAcentral lists this transfer RNA (74 nucleotides) under Felis catus (domestic cat). It matches the Rfam family "tRNA". From Rfam's summary of the family: Transfer RNA (tRNA) molecules are approximately 80 nucleotides in length. The record is from Rfam by way of RNAcentral. Lineage: Eukaryota; Metazoa; Chordata; Mammalia; Carnivora; Felidae.
GCCUGGGUGGCUCAGUCGUUUGAGCGUCAGACUUUGGCUCUCGCGAUUCGUGAGUUCAAGCCCCACAUCGGGCU